UACGAAGGGGGCGAGCGUUGUUCGGAAUUACUGGGCGGAAAGGGCGCGUAGGCGGCGAACCAAGUCAGAUGUGAAAGUCCUGGGCUUAACCUGGGGACUGCAUUUGAUACUGGUUUGCUUGAAUUCGGGAGAGGAUAGCGGAAUUCCCAGUGUAGAGGUGAAAUUCGUAGAUAUUGGGAAGAACACCGGUGGCGAAGGCGGCUAUCUGGACCGACAUUGACGCUGAGGCGCGAAAGCGUGGGGAGCAAACAGG
This 253-nucleotide ribosomal RNA is filed under the name uncultured bacterium. RNAcentral's name for it is "partial 16S ribosomal RNA". It matches the Rfam family "Bacterial small subunit ribosomal RNA", at positions 524 to 776 of the family's 1533-position model. The record is from RNAcentral.